This 211-nucleotide ribosomal RNA is filed under the name Streptococcus thermophilus. Its description in RNAcentral is "partial 16S ribosomal RNA". It matches the Rfam family "Bacterial small subunit ribosomal RNA", at positions 140 to 346 of the family's 1533-position model. Lineage: Bacteria; Bacillati; Bacillota; Bacilli; Lactobacillales; Streptococcaceae. The record is from RNAcentral.
GGGAUAACUAUUGGAAACGAUAGCUAAUACCGCAUAACAAUGGAUGACACAUGUCAUUUAUUUGAAAGGGGCAAUUGCUCCACUACAAGAUGGACCUGCGUUGUAUUAGCUAGUAGGUGAGGUAAUGGCUCACCUAGGCGACGAUACAUAGCCGACCUGAGAGGGUGAUCGGCCACACUGGGACUGAGACACGGCCCAGACUCCUACGGGA